Molecule: long non-coding RNA, 988 nt
Organism: Rhagoletis pomonella (apple maggot)
Lineage: Eukaryota; Metazoa; Arthropoda; Insecta; Diptera; Tephritidae
Exons: 2
Source: RefSeq, a predicted model, not a curated record
UCUGUGGAGCAAAAAAUUAGAGCGUUUCAGAACAAUACCCUGAGAAGGUGUUUGGGUUUAACACCCUCCACCCCGACUCACAAUAUAUAUGUACUAGCGAAUGAGUUUGAACCUAGAGAAAGGGAAACAUUUCUAACUUGUCGUGAAUUGAUACAAGUUAAAUUUGGUGAUCCGGAAGUUUUUGAUUGUAUUAAAGUCAAAUCGCUUAACAGGGAAGGCCAAGCUCGUGAUUGCACAUUUGGAAGUAGGCAUUUUUCUGCCUUUUUGGUUUGUUUGGAGAUAUUUGAUAAUUGGCGUGUAUCUAAGCCGAAGCCCUGAAAGUUGACAACAAGAGUGUGGAGAAACGCUUUAAGUUCAUCGAUCACCCUGGCCUGUGGGAGUGUCCGGCCAUUUAAUACUCUCAACAAUCAAAAAAAAAACAAAAGGCCAUUUCAGGAAAAACACCAGGCAGAGAUCGUAUUUCGUACCCAAUGCUUAAAAAUUUACCACAGAAAGUUAAAACCAGACUGCUAGAUUUGUACAACAACAUUUUAGACCAGGGUUCAUACCACACACAUGGAAAAGUGCAGUGGUACUUCCGAUUCCUAAGCCGAAUCAAUCUACCUCUAACAGUUCCUGUUACCGAGCUAUAUCCCUUCUUCCGUGCCUGAGUAAAGUUCUUGAGAAAAUGAUUGCAAAACGUAUCAUGUGGUUUACGUUGACAAACGGCUAUAUGGACCCACACCAAGUCGCUUUUAAGGAAGGACACGGUACGAUUGGCGCACUUUUAAUAUUUGAACAUUUUGUAACGACAGCCUUUGCAACAAAAAACCAUGCUUCUAUCCUAAGUCUUGACUUUGAAAAGGCCUACGAUAGAAUCGGUGCGCACAUUGUCCUUCGACAACUUGCCAAGUGGAAGAUUGGAAAAAAAUCUAUGAUUUCGUCAAGGCUUUUUUACACAACCGGCCUUUUUGCGUAAAAAUAAACAAUAAAUUUUCAAAAACUUACA